UUUCAAAGAUUUUACUGAGUUACAGUUAAUAAGGAAAUCAGUCAAUUGAAAUAAAUUCAUUAGGCCCUAAUCUGGAUUUCACAUGACUGGAAAUACAGACAUGCAUCUGUUAUCACAGAUACCUAAAAAAAAUCUAGGGGGUUGGAUUCGAAAAACCAGUAUCUCGUGUGACCACCAUUUGCCUCAUGCUGCGUGACACAUCUCCUCGCAUAGAGUUGAUCAGGUUGUUCAUUGUGGCCUGUGGUCCCACUCCUCUUCAAUGGCUGUGCGAAGUUGCUGGAUAUUGGCGGGAACAGGAACACGCUGUCGUACAUGUCGAUCCAGAGCAUUCCAAACUGCUCAAUGGGUGACAUAUCUGGUGAGUAUGCAGGCCAUGGAAGAACUGGGACAUUUUGAGCUUCCAGGAAUUGUGUACAAAUCCUUGUGAUAUGGGGCCAUGCAUUGUCAUGCUGAAACAUGAGGUGAUGGCAGCGAAUUAAUGGCACGACAGUGGGCCUCAGGAUCUCGUCACGGUAUCUUAAAUAGCCACAAGCCAUACACACUGUCUGCCGUCUGCCCGGUACAGUUCAAUCCGGAAUUCAUCCAUGAAGAGCACACCUCUCCGGCGUGCCAGUGGCCAUUGAAGGUGGGCAUUUUCCUACUUAAGUCGUUAAUGAUGCCAAAAUGCAGUCGGGUCAAGACCCUAGUGAAGAUGACGAGCACGCUGCUGAGCUUUCCUGAGAUGUUUUCUGACAGUUCGUACAGAUUUUUUUGUGCAAACCCAGUUUCAUUAGCUGUCCGGGUGGCUGAUUUCAGACGAUCAGCUUCUUGAUAAUCCAUCCAUCUGACAGGUGUGGCAUAUCUUGGCAAAGGUGAAAUUCUCACCAACAUGGAUGUAAAUUCGUGCACAAAACUUUAGAGAAAUAAGCUUUUUGUGUGUAUGGAACAUUUCUGGUAUCUUUUAUUUCAGCUCAUGAAACAUGGGACCAACACUUUACAUGUUGUGUUUAUAUUUUUGUUAAGUAUACUAUUGUGAACACUUUGGUCAAACUUCUUCGUUCCCCUGCCUGUUUUUUGAUGCACUGGUGACAAAGUAUGCAAAAGUUCACUGCAAAUAGGCUGUGGUUUUGGUAUAAUUUGGCUGAGUAGGCUUGUGCACAUUUACAUUACUGUUUCAAUUAGUUAACUAAGUUAUUGAUUUAUUCAUGUUUUUGGUGGUGUUGCAUUUCAGAUGAAGAGGGAGGAUCACUAGAAAGCAGCAUGCAGACUGAUCAGGGCCCGUAUUCACAAAGCAUCUCAGGGCCCGAGAAGAAAGCUGUUGCCCAAUACCUUGCACAACAGUCUUUCACCAUAGGACCCCAGAGGCCACUGCAUGCUGUGACAUGGGCUUGGAUGGUGACACAUCUUCAAGCUUCCUGACUGAAUAUUGGGGUCUUCAGUGGUUCUGGAAGCAAGGGCCUUACCUGGGAGUACAGCAACAGUCUCUCUGUCUCGCAGCCAUUCUGUCAACAUGUAUAGUACAGAACCCACUCAAACUCAUAGAAACUGCUACGGACUCAAGCACUGAUUUAUAUUUACUUUGUCCCAUUCUUUAAUCUUGUUUGAGAUAUAUAUUUUAGUUGAGACACCUGUAUGAGAGAUUAUUAAAAAUGUAUUCACUUUAAAUCAUAAGCUCUAAGUGUAUUUGUCUUGAUGUUUAACUUAUCACAUGAGUUAGUAAAAAUUGAAGACCAACAUGCUAUGAAAAAG
Molecule: long non-coding RNA, 1728 nt
Filed under: Salmo salar (Atlantic salmon)
Lineage: Eukaryota; Metazoa; Chordata; Actinopteri; Salmoniformes; Salmonidae
Description: lncRNA (ENSSSAG00000109487.1)
Source: RNAcentral